This 253-nucleotide ribosomal RNA is filed under the name uncultured bacterium. RNAcentral's name for it is "partial 16S ribosomal RNA". It matches the Rfam family "Bacterial small subunit ribosomal RNA", at positions 524 to 776 of the family's 1533-position model. The record is from RNAcentral.
UACGGAGGGUGCAAGCGUUAUCCGGAUUCACUGGGGUUAAAGGGUGCGUAGGCGGGCAGGUAAGUCAGUGGUGAAAUCUUUGGGCUUAACCCGAAAACUGCCAUUGAUACUAUCUGUCUUGAAUAUUGUGGAGGUUUGCGGAAUAUGUCAUGUAGCGGUGAAAUGCUUAGAUAUGACAUAGAACACCUAUUGCGAAGGCAGCAAACUACGCAUAUAUUGACGCUGAGGCACGAAAGCGUGGGGAUCAAACAGG